RNAcentral lists this ribosomal RNA (248 nucleotides) under uncultured bacterium. RNAcentral describes it as "partial 16S ribosomal RNA". It matches the Rfam family "Bacterial small subunit ribosomal RNA", at positions 796 to 1041 of the family's 1533-position model. The record is from RNAcentral.
CACGCCCUAAACGAUGAUCUCUCGCUUUCCGGAGUAUCGACCCUCUGGGAGGCUUAGCUAACGCGGUAAGAGAUCCGCCUGGGGAGUACGGCCGCAAGGCUAAAACUCAAAGGAAUAGACGGGGACUUGCACAAGCGGUGGAUGAUGUGGUUUAAUUCGAUGGUACACGAAAAACCUUACCAAGACUAGAAAUUCUAUAGAAAGGCUAAGGAAACUUAGCAACUCCGCAAGGACUGUAGAACAGGUGA